Molecule: long non-coding RNA, 1785 nt
Filed under: Mus musculus (house mouse)
Lineage: Eukaryota; Metazoa; Chordata; Mammalia; Rodentia; Muridae
Description: long non-coding RNA chrX:77544926-77546711
Source: RNAcentral
GCUACAGGGGAUUGACUAUGCAGGAGAUGAUAUUAUUGGCACCAGAGCAGAGACUUUUUCCUGCAGUAGGGCUAGGUGAUAGACCCAUUAGUACAUUCUUCCUUCUUCUAGACUAGGCUGACCUUUGAGGAACCUGAGGCUGAUUUCUUUGUUGUUGAAGGUCAGGGAGGCUGUUAGUGCCUAUGUUUUGGCUGUUAAGAUGAGAGGAUGAUACUUUCCUGAUGGUUUGCUGGGGACAGGUAUCUGGAAUUGCUGCAAUCUCAGUGCUGUCUUUAGAUUUCCAUGAGGAUGGAGGGAAAGCCUUUCUAUCAAAUGACUCAGAGAGCACUAGGCCACUGUUUAUCGAUGAGCAACCCCCAGCAGACUUCUUGCCUGAUUGGAAAGGCUUAUUUUUGGGCAGGGUUCUUUGCCUUAACUCAUUCAGCCAUAGGCUAUAACCUCUUGCAGGAACUUUUUGAAUAAUUUUGGUACUUGUAAUCUUGCAAGGUCCAGUAUGAUUGAUAAUCAUGAUCCUCACUGAUUUCAGAACCCAUGACUCAGGGCCUGUCUUAACUGAGAUGCCACUGGAAAGUAUAAAAUACAGAACAAAAUAGCUAAAUACAUGAUGUAAUGUGAAUGGAAAUGAUGACUCAGGUCAUGAACCUUAUCUUCCAUUUGAUCUGGGGUGAUCUUUGCCUCAUGAAGUCCAAGAGCUAAAGCAAUAUAGUUGUUUAUUCUCCUCCCCCCUCCUCCUUAUUGUCUUAUUGUGGUUGGUUUAUUUUCUUUUUGAGACAGUACCUCACUAUUAUGUAGUCCAGGCUGGAGACUCCCCUGCCUCAGACUCCCAAGUGCAGGGAUCCAAGAUGUGCUUUGCUGGUUUGUAAAGUCCUUUCCUAAUAGACAUGCAUGCUCUGUCCACACACAGUGUGGCAAGGAGGUUUCAUGCUUUUAUUGCAAGACACAUGCCUUGGUAUUGAGAUUGAGUGACUGUGUGAGGGCAGGAGUGGCAGUACUUAAUUUCAACAGCCACAAUUGAUGACAUCCAUAGCAUAGGCAUUUCUCACCAAGAAUGUUAGAUGUGUGCUGGCUGAGAGUUCAGCAACAGAUACUAGCCACUAAAGCUGGUUCAUUUACUGAUUUGUGCAAGUGAGACACAGAAUAGGAGUAGGAAGUUGGGGGGAGUGUCUUAUGUGCAUCUGUGGUGGCUUUGGGUUUAAGUAAGCAAGAAUUUAUUUUGUGUGUUGAGACAGGAAGUGGAUUAUUAGGGGUCUAGGUCUGGGAGAGGCUUAGGGAUAAAGUUAAUAUGGUCUUUUGUGAGGUGGAAUGAGGAAGGGGCAGAUAGGCUAGCCUCAAGCUGGCAGUGCUGCUAAGGAUGACAUUAAGAUCUCUUUUGAGGCAACUAUUAGGUGAGAGUUUAGUAGCAGCAGUUUCCUGGAAAAUGGUACGAAGGCAACUAACUGUCUUUUGCUGUUUAUUUCUCACAGGCUGCACUGAUCAGAAGGUGGCUUUGUUAUGGAUGAUAAGGGCCAACCAAUUAAAAGGGACAAAAGAAGCUUGCUAAAGGAGUAUUACAGUCUAGAUAUAAAAUUUAACAAAUUACAGUUUGUUAUGUUUAUUCUUGGGUGGAUAAUAAUAGAUGAGGCAGGCUGGUGAGGUGGGAUAGGAGCCAAGAGGCCCAGGAAAGUAGAAAGGUGAAGAGAAGCUUUGGUGGAACCAUCCCCUCCUUUUCAACAUGAGGACUUGGUCUGCCAGGGGAGGGCAGCAGUGUGGCCUCCUGACAGGAAAGUGAAACUGCACCUCAAGAGG